This 447-nucleotide ribosomal RNA is filed under the name uncultured bacterium. RNAcentral's name for it is "partial 16S ribosomal RNA". It matches the Rfam family "Bacterial small subunit ribosomal RNA", at positions 29 to 523 of the family's 1533-position model. The record is from RNAcentral.
AGCGAACGCUGGCGGCAGGCUUAACACAUGCAAGUCGAACGCCCCGCAAGGGGAGUGGCAGACGGGUGAGUAACACGUGGGAACGUACCCUUUGGUUCGGAAUAACUUGGGGAAACUCAAGCUAAUACCGGAUAAGCCCUUAUGGGGAAAGGUUUACUGCCGAAGGAUCGGCCCGCGUCUGAUUAGCUAGUUGGUGAGGUAAUGGCUCACCAAGGCGACGAUCAGUAGCUGGUCUGAGAGGAUGAUCAGCCACACUGGGACUGAGACACGGCCCAGACCCCUACGGGAGGCAGCAGUGGGGAAUAUUGGACAAUGGGGGCAACCUUGAUCCAGCCAUGCCGCGUGAGUGAUGAAGGCCUUAGGGUUGUAAAGCUCUUUUACCCGGGACGAUAAUGACUGUACCGGGAGAAUAGGCCCCGGCUAACUUCGUGCCAGCAGCCGCGGUAA